CUGAACCUCUUAUGAUUGAUAUCUUAGUAGUUUGCAUGCAAUUAAAAUACUUUUGCUUAGUACUUCCUCUUGUUCUCAUGCUCAGAGGAAGUUUCUUCACUGUCUCAAGGUUUUUUUGACCCAUGGCCAUGAUUUUUAGUAUUAUAAUGAAGGGAGUUUAGCUGAGGCUGCAGGGACCUUGAUUUUUCUUUUUCUUUUUUUUUGUUUUUUAAGUUGCCAACAUCCUGAUUAUUUUUCUCCUUGGAGCUUAUUUACUCUGGGUUGUUCUUAAUUAAAUAUACUAAGUAUUUUAACACAGAUGUAUUACAAGGUGCAAAUUGUUUGUAUUAUUUGUAUUAUUCAAACAUGUUUAGCUAAGUAUUUUAAGUUAUUUUUUAACAGUUCCUUCCCUUGAGACUUCUCUUUUCAGAAAGGUUUGAUUAGUCUCAUUUUUCUGUGUUUAGUUUGUUAGUCUAAUGCAACACUCAGAUACAUACUGCAAUAUAACAUACAGACAGACAAUAGCUGAUAUUACUAGAAAUUCAACUGCAGUGACAUUCCAUACUGCUAGAUAAGAAAAUCAGAAUGUCAGAAAUUUGUAUGUUUCUUCAAAUCCAAGAGAGGUAUCAUCUUUCUGAAUCUCAUGUAAAGUUCUGGUUUGUUGUCAGUAGUACAGUGUAAAGUCCCUUCCAUUUUUUGUGUUGGCAGCUUUUCUUUUCAGGAGGAUACACUGGACCUGCUGACUUAAAUAGAGAUAUGAGUGAGAUCAAAGGCAGAAGAGCUCUCAGUUGGCUGUACCUCUAGGGACAUGCAAGAAUUCUUUGCAAAGAUGCCAGGUAGGUAGCAACAAAGCGAUGUUGAAAAGUCCAGUGGUGGUCAAAAAGACUUCAGGGCUUUGUGGAGAUGGAUAAAAGGAUCAAGAGGGCAGAUAGUGCUCCCUUCUACCCUUCAAGUAGAGGGAAACGGUAUUGGAAGAAACAGAGGCAGCCGGCAAGCCACAGUGCCAGCACCUGGGCCCCUGCCCCCCUUCAGCCGGGACGAUUGUAUCAAAACAAACGUAUUUUAACAUCAGAGCACUUUGUGGGCCAGAGGAGUUGGGCAGCCAAUUAGAGGGAAUCCUGAGAAGGCGGCUGCCAUUAGAAGAGAGGCCAAUCUCCGAGCAGCACGGAAACACGUGGCUGGCAAAGUGUCGCAAAAUGGUGGCUCCCGUCUGUGGAAUUCAAGCUGGAACAAAAUGGCGCCUCCGCCGGCUCAUGAAAUGGCGGCUCCUCACCCUGGGAUGCAGACUGGAACAAAAUGGCGCCUCCCUGUGUAGGUAGGUGGGAGGGAUUUUCUGUCCUGUCCCAUCCUACCGGCGGGCGGGCCCAGUAGCUCUGGGUCCUCCCCUUCACCCGCAGCUCUAUCCCUGCCCUGGCACGCACUCCACCCAGCGCCUCCAGCUUUUAGCCGGGAAGAACGGCAGGCUGGAGGAACCGCUGUUCUGAGCAGCUACAGGCGCCGGCCGUGCUGCCCGGCGGCUCUCCGGCCGAGUGGCCGGAGGUGCUCUGCUGUGCAUCACGCGUAGCUGAGCGAGCCCAAAUCUAGAAUUGGGGGCAUGUGGGAAGAUGCUAGGCAUGGCUUUUGAGGAGUGGUUUUCCGCACCGGCUCGGUUUUUUGCCAAGCCUCCACCCUCUUGAAGCUCCCCCACCGCUGAUGUGCCAGUGUCUUUUCUGCAGACUGGGAAAGGGCAGGUCGCUGACAUGGCCUUGUGCUUACGUUGGACCGUUUCUAUUCCCCCUGAAAGUCAAAUUCUUUAUUUUGUUAGCUGGCAGGAAGGAACGCCCAGCCCAUUUCACAUCUACCCCUUUGAGAAUACAGGCAUACGUUUAACUGCUCGACCUAGCUGCCUGUGUGCCUGUUAUGUGUACUUGUUGCUGCUUAACCUGGCAGAAAACUGAACACCACACAGUCUCCCCAGCUGCGGUGGGGAAAGUAUGGGAAGGAUGAAACUGGGAGCACACACGGGUUUAGGCAAAGACCGUUUACUAGGUAAAAGAAAACCCACGCCUGCAAGCCAAGGGAAACAUUUGCCACUUCUCUUUGAUGGGCAAGCAUCCAGCCACUUCUAGGAUCCCAGGGCCCAGUGCACGUAACAAGCUCUUAUCUCGUUCUGUAUGCAGUGUAGCUGA
This is a long non-coding RNA of Lagopus muta (rock ptarmigan), 2147 nucleotides long. RefSeq lists it as uncharacterized. The transcript has 3 exons. The record is from RefSeq and is a predicted model, not a curated record. Lineage: Eukaryota; Metazoa; Chordata; Aves; Galliformes; Phasianidae.